Molecule: ribosomal RNA, 459 nt
Filed under: uncultured bacterium
Lineage: Bacteria
Description: partial 16S ribosomal RNA
Rfam family: Bacterial small subunit ribosomal RNA
Source: RNAcentral
CCUACGGGAGGCAGCAGUGAGGAAUAUUGGUCAAUGGGAGAGAUCCUGAACCAGCCAAGCCGCGUGAGGGAAGACGGCCCUAUGGGUUGUAAACCUCUUUUGUCGGAGAACAAAACCCGGGACGUGUCCCCGGCUGUGUGUAUCCGACGAAAAAGCAUCGGCUAACUCCGUGCCAGCAGCCGCGGUAAUACGGAGGAUGCGAGCGUUAUCCGGAUUUAUUGGGUUUAAAGGGUGCGUAGGCGGUCCGUUAAGUCAGCGGUAAAAUUGCGGGGCUCAACCCCGUCGAGCCGUUGAAACUGGCAGACUGGAGUGGGCGAGAAGUAAGCGGAAUGCGCGGUGUAGCGGUGAAAUGCAUAGAUAUCGCGCAGAACUCCGAGUGCGAAGGCAGCGUACCGGAGCCAGACUGACGCUGAGGCACGAAAGCGUGGGGAUCGAACAGGAUUAGAUACCCUUGUAGUC